This is a non-coding RNA of Acanthosepion pharaonis, 109 nucleotides long. The record is from the annotation of a GenBank genome assembly. Lineage: Eukaryota; Metazoa; Mollusca; Cephalopoda; Sepiida; Sepiidae.
ACCACAUCAUGUUGAAACAUUCGUUCCCAUAUGAUCACCAAAAUUAAGCAACAUCAAGCCUGGUCAGUACCUAGAUGGGUGACCACUUGGGAAUACCAGGUGCUGUAAG